CGCUGAGGGGAGGAGAUGGCGGCGGUGGGAAGGGAGGGUUUUCCAGCGCCUGAAGGGGCUCCGAGAGCGCUGGAGAGGGAGUUUGGAGAAGGUGUGGGACAAAGGGCACGGGUUUAAAAUGGAGGAGGGGAGGUUUGGGGAUUUUGCGAAGAAAUUCCUCCCCGUGAGGGCGGAGAGGGCUUGGCACGAGUUAUUCCAGGGAUGCCUCAUCUCUGCAAGUGUCCAGGGCUGGGCUGGACGGGGCUUGGAGCAACUUGGGGUCAUGGAAGGUGUCCCUGGCCAGGGGGGAUCCCUUCCCGCCCAGAGGAUCACCCUGGAUCAUUUCCACCCCAAAGGGUGAUCCUGGAUCCCUUCCCACCCAGAGGAUCAUUUCCAAGCCAAAGGAUGAUCCUGGAUCCCUUCCCACCCUGGGCUGUAGGAGUUGCAGGGGGUAGGACGGUCGGGACAGACGGGGAUGAGAGAUCUCUGAAUCCAGGUCGUGGGAUUUGUGGUUUAUUGCAGGGGCCCUGCUUGGAUGUGCCAGCUGCAGCUCGGAGCAGGCCCCAAAGAGAGAGAGGGAAUGAGAGAGCAAGGAAGAGUAAAGAGAAUGAAUGCAAGAGCGUGGUAAAGAGAGAAUGUGCGAAUGGUUCCCGUUACAAUACAAUAAAUCUUCUGUGUUGAAUAUUCUAAUUCUCACUAACCAAUCUAAUACAAGAUACAAAUCUUACAGCAUUUACAUACAGCCUCUAAGAAUCAUUACAUUACCAUACUGUGUCACAUUUUAAACCCUAAAAACGACUCUUUGGACCCUUUCUGCCAAGCUAGUAGGGUGUGCUCUGACCCUUGGACCUGUCUGCAAGCAGCGGGUAUUGUUCCAUCAAAGGGAGAUUACCUUCAGCCAGCCAUUCCAUUGUUCUCCAGUUGUUCAGUAACUAAGGUAUCUCAAAGCUUGCUUUCAUUUCAAUCUUGCUCAUAGGUUCCAUAUUCUCAAAAUCUUUUGCCAGUCAAUCAUAUUUAUAAGGCUUUCCCGUUUCAUCUUCCCCAGCACUGGAUCCCUUCCCACCAAAGGAUGAUACUGCAUCUUGUCCCACCCAAAGGAUCACUCUGGAUCCUUCCCACUCAAAGGGUGAUCCUGGAUCCCUUCCCACCCAAGGCAUCAACCUGGAUCCCUUCCCACCCAAACCAUUCCUUAAUUCUAUAAUCAAGGCCCGUUUAGAAUUUUCCAGUUUGUGCCUGAGAUCCAACAUUAUCUCCAGGAACAUCAGCACCUCUCUCCACUCCUUUUAUCCCUGAUGGUUUUUGCUUCAGCCUGGGAUGCAAAAAUACCUUUCUGUAGGGACUUUCUGUAGGGAUUUUCUGUAGGGACUUUCUGUAGGGAUUUUCUGUUGCUGUUUCUUUCAGUGUACAAAGGAUUUCUGGAUUUCCCAACACUGGUGAUGCUGCCCUGGAGCAGCUUCAGGUGAUACGGAUCUAAAAGCUCCAUCAGUCAUCAAAUUGCUCAGAGUUUUGUCUUCCCAAAGGCCUUUCCCAGCUGUUUAUGAGGUGGUAAAUUCUCUGGGUUCACCCUGGGCCACUGCAUCCUUGCUCCUGGCUCAUUAGAAAUUUAGGAAAAAAUAAGAAUAUACCUAUUGUAAGGAUUUUUGGGAGAGUCUGCAUCAUCACACAGGUUGUAAGUGGAUUUUUGGCCUCAAGUCACACAGCUUAGUGGCUCCUGGAGAGGGUUUUAUUGGGGAAUUGGGUGCUUGCAUUUAUAGUUUGUAUCAUAUAUAUAAUAUAAUAAAUAUAAUUAUAUAUUAUAUUUAUAAUAUAUUUAUAUUUAGUGUAAAACCUUUCUCUGGAUACCACAAAGCGGUCCACUCUGUAGGCAUUUCUGUGCUGCUCCCUCCCAUCUCUGCUUGCCAAUUUUGUCAAUCUCCAGGGAGCAGAGGAACAUUUGGGAGCUCAGGGAAGACUGAAGGAAGGUACAGAAACACCUGGCAGGUGCCCCAGGCCUCCAGAGCUGCGUGUUGGGAUGAAGAUGAGGAGGAGGAUGAGGCUUUGCUGGCAGUGCUGCUGCUCCUCUGACAGAAAUGUGGCAUUUUCAUCAGCUCAGACUCCUUGUCAUUUCCCGAGUUUGGUGCAAUUAGGGCUGAGGGGAGCUCCAGGCAGGAGGAAUUCCUUCAAACCUCUGAUUCCAGGGACGUGGCUGCCCAGAGAGCCACAGCCAUUCUUCUGAGAGUUUCUGCUGUUUCAUUCAUCAGCUCCAGAUUUUCUGCUUGCUGCUCACUUCAAAGCAGGCACUCUUGAGGUGCAGCCUCCCAAAAUCAUAUUGAAAGCUGGUGUCUUCAUCCCCCAGGAGGAGCACACAGUCUUCCAGGGCUGUGGGAGAUUUUUCUCAUCCUUUAGAGCUUUUUUCCUGUGACAUUUUUAAACACAGCCUUUGGUCACUCUGCAGAUGGGUGUUUUCUAGGCUUUUGAGUUUUCUCCAGGUCCCAGUGUGAUCACAGUUGGUUCACAGAGGGAUUUAUUUCAAGGAUUAUCAAUUCACUGGGUUAUCUUUUGCAGCAGGAAGGGUUUUUCUUUUAGAAGUUCAACCCCUGCCUUCUUUCCCACCACUCCAAAGUGAAUUUUACUGUCAAGAACACCGUAAAGCUUUCCUUGAGUAAAAGGAUCACCAAAUCCUUUGGGUUUGCAUUAGGUGUGCUGAGGUUGUCAGUGCUGUGCCUCUUCUCUUCAGCACCAUACAACUUCACAGCUCACUUUGGGCAGAGUCAGGUCUUUUCCAGCCCUCGAGGGACGCAGGGAUUUGGCACAGAAUGGGAUUUUAGCCGUGAGCACAGAGGUGCCCCAGCCUGAGGCAGGAAGGACAGGCACUGAGGAAAGCAGGGAUGCAGCAGGAGCUUGACCACACUUGGUGUGAUCUUCACCAUCUAAACACGGGUGUUUGGAGGGAUUUAUCCUCAGUUUUGAGGUCCUGGUUCCACUGGGGGGUGAAUUCCUCUUUAUUCCUGCUCUGGGUUUUCUCCACCAGGAAGAGCUGCCUGAGCUUCAGCUCACACUGACCUCAAGUCAAAAGCUCCCUGUCUCAGGGAAUUCCUCUUCUUGGAUUGCACUUAACAUCUCCCCUUGCACAGGAAUCGAGGGUGUGUUUGGGAGAGAACAACAGCCUGAGAUUUGUUCCAUUCAGGCAUUCCAAAUGUGCUGUUCCCAGCUUGAAAUUCGUUCCUUUCCGGGAUUCCAAAUUCCCAGCGGCGACUCGCUGCCAGAGUUUGAUCCAUUGUUAAUAGGUCAGUGGCUGUAAAUGGACCUUUCCUGUUGUUUUGACAUUUGUCUUCAAUUUUCCCCCAAUGUUUCUUCAUUAAACCCCUGACUGACAGCUUGCUGAAAGGAAACCCACGGUAGCUGCUUUCCCUUUCACUCCUCUGCUCAAACCUCGUUUUUCCACGCCGACAAGCAGAGCUCCCCUCACCGCUGAGCUAAAUCCUCUUUCAUCUUUAUCCCUUGCCUUCUGCAGCGAGGAGAGGAUGCUGUGAUGCUGCUGGGAUGCAGCGAGGAGCUCUGCUCCAGGAUUUAGCUCUGCCCAGAGCGCCGGGGAUGCUGCGGAAAGGUUGCCAGAGAGGCGGAUACCAGCCUGCAUCCAGCUUUUUGCUGCAUCCCUGCUGCCGAGCCAGAUAUGGAUCAUCCCUGGGAUUAUUCCUGCCUGUCCCUGCGCAGGGAGGGGACUCUGGAGGUGCUGCUGUGCCAGGGGGGUGUCGAUGGGCGCCGGACCCUGCGGGCGCUGUGGAUUUUUCAGUUCUGGAGCCGACGCUCCCCUCACGGUGAGGUCUCUGUGGCGCAAUGGACGAGCGCGCUGGACUUCUAAUCCAGAGGUUCCGGGUUCGAGUCCCGGCAGAGAUGAUCUCCAGGUCACCCUCAGCUGUGCUGCCCACGAGGUGAGGAGGUGUGAGGAUCCCUGUCCUCCCUGCAAGAGGAGAAAUUCUCACUUGGAAAGGAAAAAAAAAUCAGCCAAACCUGCUGGGGAAGGUGAGGAAAAUUGAGGAAUUAGGACAUAAACACUGAAUUACACCUGAGUUACACCUGUCCUGUCACUGCUGCAGCAUGUUCUUCCUGGGUUUUUGGCAAUGACCACUUGUGCAAAUGCAGUUAAAAAUCAGUUCACUGCUAAUUAUCCCACACUCGGAAUCAGAAUCAGGAAGAUUUUGCUUUCUACCCCAGAACAUUCCAAAUUCCCAACAAAAAGGAUGUUUGGGAUGCCCUACACUGAAGAGGGAACAUUCAUGGAAUCUCAUAUUUACCCCUCCAGACCUCAGGUAGUAUCAGAUGGAUGGGAUUCCCAGGAAUGAAUCCCCAUCUGGAGGGAAUUUGGGAAUUUGUCUCUGAGAUCCCCAAAUGUCACCCUGUGAGGCCAAACAAAAUUCUGGAAUGAUCCCAUGGCCACCCUAGAACUGACAGAAAUGGUGGAAUGUUCCUCUGGUAACCCUAGAGCCAACAAAAAUGGUAAAACGCUCUUCUGGAAAUUGUAGAACUGAAAAAAAAAAAAGGUGAAAUUCUCCUCUGGUAUCUCUAGAACCAACCAAAAAAAAAUUGAAUGCUCCCCUGGCAACUCUAGAACUGGCAAAAAGGGUGGAAUUCUACCACAGCAACCUUGGAAUUUAAAAAAAAAAUAUUAAAUACUCCCAUGGCAACCCUAGAACUGACAGAAAUGGUGGAAUGCUUCCCCUGGAAAUCCUAGAACCAAUAAAAAGGGUGGAAUGCCCCUCUGGCAACUCCAGAACUGGCAAAAAGGGUGGAAUUCUACCAUGGCAACCCUAGAAACAAAUAAAACCAGUGGGAUGAUCCCAUGGCAACCCUAGGACCAACAAAAACAAUGGAAUAAUCCCAUGGCAACCCUAGAACUGGCAAAAAUGGUGGAAUUCUCCUCUGGUAACCCUAGAAUUUAAAAAGAAGAUUAUUAAAUGCUCCCCUGGGAGCCCCAGAACCAACAGAAACAGUGGGAUGAUCCCAUGGCAACCCUAGAACUGACAAAAAUGGUGGAAUUCUCCUCUAGAAAUCCUAGAGCCAACAAAAAUGGUGGAAUGAUCCUUUGGUGACCCCAGAACCCACCGAAAUGGUAAAAUACUCCUCUGGAACCCAAGAACUGAAAAAAAAAUUGUGGAACUCUCCUCUGGUAUCUCUAGAACCAGCAAAAAAAGUGGAAUGGUCUACUGGAAAUCCUAGAACUGACAGAAAGGGUGGAAUGUUCCUCUGGAAAUCCUAGAGCAAACAAAAAUGGUGGAAUGGUCCUGUGGUGACCCUAGAACCUACAGAAAUGGUGGAAUGCUCUUCUGGAAAUCCUAGAACUAACAAAAAUGGUGGAAUUAUCCUCUGGCAACCCUAGAGUUUAAAAAAAAUUAUUAAAUGUUCCUCUGGAAACCCUAGAGCCAACAAAAGUGGUGGAUUGAUCCCGUGGUGACCCUAGAACUGGCAAAGAUGGUGGAAUGUUCCUCUGGAAAUCCUAAACCCAACAAAACCAAUGGAAUGCUUGUUUGACAACCCUAGAACCAAGAAAAACUCUGGAAUGUUCCCCUGCCGUCCCUAAAAUCAACAAAAACUCUGGAAUGUUCCCCUGCCAUCCCUAAAACCAACCAAAAAUGGUGGAAUCCUCCCCUGGAAUCUCCGUUCCCAGGAGCUCUGGGUGUUCCUCCUGCCCCAUGGACAAUAAAACCCGGCAGGUUGGACACCUCUGCCUCCCCCCAUUCACCACCCACCCCAAACUGGGGCUGUGACAUGGGGGGACACUUUGUGCCCCUGAUCCUCCAGGAAUUUUUAACCCUUGUGGCUUCCCAGAGCCACCCCAGAUCCAGCAGGGAUCAGGGUGGAGGAGGUGUUGGGCUCCCCCAGGAGCUCCCAGGGGUUGGGGUUCAGUUUAUUUAGGUUUAUCCCUAAAUAAAUUUAUCAUUUCUGGA
Long non-coding RNA from Passer domesticus (house sparrow), 5903 nucleotides. RefSeq lists it as uncharacterized. The record is from RefSeq and is a predicted model, not a curated record. The transcript has 2 exons. Lineage: Eukaryota; Metazoa; Chordata; Aves; Passeriformes; Passeridae.